Molecule: ribosomal RNA, 1346 nt
Filed under: uncultured bacterium
Lineage: Bacteria
Description: partial 16S ribosomal RNA
Rfam family: Bacterial small subunit ribosomal RNA
Source: RNAcentral
GACGAACGCUGGCGGCGUGCUUAACACAUGCAAGUCGAACGGAAAGGCCCUGCUUUUGUGGGGUGCUCGAGUGGCGAACGGGUGAGUAACACGUGAGUAACCUGCCCUUGACUUUGGGAUAACUUCAGGAAACUGGGGCUAAUACCGGAUAGGAGCUCCUGCUGCAUGGUGGGGGUUGGAAAGUUUCGGCGGUUGGGGAUGGACUCGCGGCUUAUCAGCUUGUUGGUGGGGUAGUGGCUUACCAAGGCUUUGACGGGUAGCCGGCCUGAGAGGGUGACCGGCCACAUUGGGACUGAGAUACGGCCCAGACUCCUACGGGAGGCAGCAGUGGGGAAUAUUGCACAAUGGGCGGAAGCCUGAUGCAGCGACGCCGCGUGCGGGAUGACGGCCUUCGGGUUGUAAACCGCUUUCGCCUGUGACGAAGCGUGAGUGACGGUAAUGGGUAAAGAAGCACCGGCUAACUACGUGCCAGCAGCCGCGGUGAUACGUAGGGUGCGAGCGUUGUCCGGAUUUAUUGGGCGUAAAGGGCUCGUAGGUGGUUGAUCGCGUCGGAAGUGUAAUCUUGGGGCUUAACCCUGAGCGUGCUUUCGAUACGGGUUGACUUGAGGAAGGUAGGGGAGAAUGGAAUUCCUGGUGGAGCGGUGGAAUGCGCAGAUAUCAGGAGGAACACCAGUGGCGAAGGCGGUUCUCUGGGCCUUUCCUGACGCUGAGGAGCGAAAGCGUGGGGAGCGAACAGGCUUAGAUACCCUGGUAGUCCACGCUGUAAACGGUGGGUACUAGGUGUGGGGUCCAUUCCACGGGUUCCGUGCCGUAGCUAACGCUUUAAGUACCCCGCCUGGGGAGUACGGCCGCAAGGCUAAAACUCAAAGGAAUUGACGGGGCCCCGCACAAGCGGCGGAGCAUGCGGAUUAAUUCGAUGCAACGCGUAGAACCUUACCUGGGUUUGACAUGGAUCGGGAGUGCUCAGAGAUGGGUGUGCCUCUUUUGGGGUCGGUUCACAGGUGGUGCAUGCCUGUCGUCAGCUCGUGUCGUGAGAUGUUGGGUUAAGUCCCGCAACGAGCGCAACCCUUGUUCACUGUUGCCAGCACGUUAUGGUGGGGACUCAGUGGAGACCGCCGGGGUCAACUCGGAGGAAGGUGGGGAUGACGUCAAGUCAUCAUGCCCCUUAUGUCCAGGGCUUCACGCAUGCUGCAAUGGCUGGUACAGAGAGUGGCGAGCCUGUGAGGGUGAGCGAAUCUCGGAAAGCCGGUCUCAGUUCGGAUUGGGGUCUGCAACUCGACCUCAUGAAGUCGGAGUCACUAGUAAUCGCAGAUCAGCAACGCUGCGGUGAAUACGUUCCCGGGGCU